Non-coding RNA from Pelobates cultripes (western spadefoot toad), 135 nucleotides. The record is from the annotation of a GenBank genome assembly. NCBI's taxonomy places the organism in Eukaryota, Metazoa, Chordata, Amphibia, Anura, Pelobatidae.
GUAGCGGUACUUACCCUCUCUGGGGGCCGGCCGAGGUACUCUGUUCCCGCCGCGCGCAGUCCUGCAUCUGCACGAGCCGCGCGGGGCGGGAACAGAGGACCUCGGCCGGCCCCUGGAGAGGGUAAGUACCGCUAC